Long non-coding RNA from Suricata suricatta (meerkat), 1892 nucleotides. RefSeq lists it as uncharacterized. The transcript is spliced from 2 exons. The record is from RefSeq and is a predicted model, not a curated record. Lineage: Eukaryota; Metazoa; Chordata; Mammalia; Carnivora; Herpestidae.
GGGCCGCUGGAGCGGCCGCGGGGACCGGAGGAGGACGAGGAGGAAGCGGCGGCGGCGCCCGGGAGUCGUUGAACCCCUUCCGCGCCAGGGGCGGCCGGGAACCAUUCUCCCCUCCCCACGCCCGGAGGCAAGACUUUGCAGCAGGACGGGGCAGGGAGCCCGCGGGAGUGACCCCCACGGGAGUGAACGCCCUCUCUCCCCGCAAGGAUUGCCAGCUAGCCCCGGGAGCCAGGGGCCUGCAACCCGAUCUUCAAAGCCAAGGGACCUUGAUUCGCCUGGGGCUCGGGGUUUGGUCUUCCCAGGACCGUGCUGCGCCAGGGCUCUGAGCCAUAAAGGGAAUGGGGGGAGGGGUGGGGAGAUCCCAGCUCCGAACCCUUUUUCGCCGCUAGCUCUUGUGUAUCCUGUGUGCAGGAGUGACUCGGGCUUUCCCCCAAGACUCAGGGGAAGGAGGGAGCUGUAGGGGCUCUUCUUUAAUAAGCUGAAGCUCUCGCAAGGCGGAGGGCACCAAAAGUAGUGGAGCUCAGUGCCCCCACGAAGAGGCUUCCUGUUGCGGCCCUAAGUAUCUGGAUAUGGGCCAGGGAAGAAGGAAGGGAAAGAGCAAUGCCUCUGUGCUUCAAUCCUUGGCCUUCUCCUCACAGAGUUCUUUUAGGAAGAGCAAGCUUUUGUAAGUAGAGUGGCUCACAAGUGUUUUUAUAUUAUUUUCUGGUCCUCAAGAUGUCUUGUUCCGUAAUCACCGUAAUCACCCUUGCCUUCCCUCUUUGCUGAACCUGUGACAAUGUAGUUCUGCAAUUAGGGCCAAGUCUGUUGUGAAACCAGAGCUUUGAGCACGUUUUCUGGUUUUGAGUUGUAUUUGAACCAGAAAGGCCAAAAAGUGGGCUUCAAACUCAGGAUUGUGUUUUGAUAGCCAGUUCACAGACCAGCUGUGGGAAGGUUACAUUGGCUUGUCUUUACGUCUCUUGAUAAACCCUACUUAUUUGCAGCCUGUACUUAUUGAGAUGAAAAACCCCAAGGGAAACGACAUCUGUAUAGUUCUGGGACAGCAAGAAUUCUACAUCCUCAAUUUGGAUUCCAUUUCCUUCUGCCACUUGCUUUUAGGCAAUUGAAUGUGGGUAGUGACAAGAUAUCAAACCCUUUAGUGUUUCCUUUUUGGGAAAUGAAGCACUUUUUAAAAAAACAAAAACAAAAACUCACUCCACCUGAGUCCUGAAACAGUUGGUCUCUUCAGUUUUUUGGCCUCCACUCUAGUUAGCUCUGAUCCAAGUUUACAGGACAACAAGCCUUGCUUUAAGCCAUGUUCUGUUGUGGGCAAGGUAACAGCAGCUGAGCUGUCCUAGCCUAGGAGCAGGCUGGUCGCAAGCCAAGCCAAGGUGUCUUGGUUGGAGGAGAUUUCUGAGCAGCUCACGUGACUUUGGUCAUUAGGAAGUCUUUGAGGCCUUUUUAAAUUUUUGGUGGGGCUCUGGGGCUGGAGAAGAAACAAAAUGACACUUUAUAACUUCAAUAAUAACCUGUAAUUUAUAUUUAUUGUGAAUUUUUAGUCCUAUAUUUUAAUAAUUUGUAAAUUGAUCUCUUCUUCCAAGAAUCCUUUGAACUUGCAGGAGAACAUCUGGGAAUCCAGUCCCCUGUCCCCAUCCCUGCAUUCUGGACUGUUUAAUCCACUUUGGGAUGGAUCAAAGAGUCUAGCGAGACCACUCGUAGGUCCAGCUGCUGGCCUCCUGAUUCUAAAGCCUUCACUGGAAUUGGGACAUUAGCUCCAGCUCUAGCUGUGAACAUGACCAGAGACAUUAUUUAUAAUUCAGCCAUUUAAGAUAUACCUGUACUCAAAAAGUCCUGUAUAUUUUUUAAAAGUUUUAUUUUUCAGGUGAACAAAAAUACAUUCUAAGAACUCUACAUAA